This 424-nucleotide ribosomal RNA is filed under the name Verrucomicrobiota bacterium. RNAcentral's name for it is "Verrucomicrobia bacterium partial 16S ribosomal RNA". It matches the Rfam family "Bacterial small subunit ribosomal RNA", at positions 355 to 776 of the family's 1533-position model. The record is from RNAcentral. Lineage: Bacteria; Pseudomonadati; Verrucomicrobiota.
UGAGGAAUAUUGGUCAAUGGACGCAAGUCUGAACCAGCCAAGUAGCGUGCAGGAUGACGGCCCUAUGGGUUGUAAACUGCUUUUAUAUGGGGAUAAAGUGGGGAACGUGUUCCCUUUUGCAGGUACCAUAUGAAUAAGGACCGGCUAAUUCCGUGCCAGCAGCCGCGGUAAUACGGAAGGUUCGGGCGUUAUCCGGAUUUAUUUGGUUUAAAGGGAGCGUAGGCCGUUUGGUAAGCGUGUUGUGAAAUGUAGGAGCUCAACUUCUAGAUUGCAGCGCGAACUGUCAGACUUGAGUGCGCACAACGUAGGCGGAAUUCAUGGUGUAGCGGUGAAAUGCUUAGAUAUCAUGAAGAACUCCGAUUGCGAAGGCAGCUUACGGGAGCGCAACUGACGCUGAAGCUCGAAGGUGCGGGUAUCGAACAGG